GUGGGGAAUAUUGGACAAUGGGCGAAAGCCUGAUCCAGCCAUGCCGCGUGUGUGAAGAAGGUCUUCGGAUUGUAAAGCACUUUAAGUUGGGAGGAAGGGCAGUAAGUUAAUACCUUGCUGUUUUGACGUUACCGACAGAAUAAGCACCGGCUAACUUCGUGCCAGCAGCCGCGGUAAUACGAAGGGUGCAAGCGUUAAUCGGAAUUACUGGGCGUAAAGCGCGCGUAGGUGGUUUUGUAAGUUGGAGGUGAAAUCCCCGGGCUCAACCUGGGAACUGCCUCCAAAACUGCAUGACUAGAGUACGGUAGAGGGUAGUGGAAUUUCCUGUGUAGCGGUGAAAUGCGUAGAUAUAGGAAGGAACACCAGUGGCGAAGGCGACUACCUGGACUGAUACUGACACUGAGGUGCGAAAGCGUGGGGAGCAAACAGGAUUAGAUACCCCAGGAGUCC
This 450-nucleotide ribosomal RNA is filed under the name uncultured bacterium. RNAcentral's name for it is "partial 16S ribosomal RNA". It matches the Rfam family "Bacterial small subunit ribosomal RNA", at positions 354 to 796 of the family's 1533-position model. The record is from RNAcentral.